This 279-nucleotide long non-coding RNA is filed under the name Cervus hanglu yarkandensis (Yarkand deer). RNAcentral's name for it is "lncRNA (ENSCHYG00000013911.1)". Lineage: Eukaryota; Metazoa; Chordata; Mammalia; Artiodactyla; Cervidae. The record is from RNAcentral.
AUAAGCAAAACCUGGCAAAAUCAACUAGAGUGGAUGGUGCAGCUGUGUGGGGCUUCUGUGGUGAAGGAGCCCUCGUCAUUCACCCCAGGCCAGGGUACUCACCCAGUUGUGGUCGUGCAGCCGGAUGCCUGGACAGAGGAUGCUGGCUUCCGUGUGAUCGGGCAGAUGUGUGAAGCACCUGUGGUAACCCGAGAGUGGGUACUGGACAGUGUGGCCCUCUACCAUUGCCAGGAGCUGGACACCUACCUGGUCCCCCAGGUCGCCCAGAGCUGCUGCUGA